This 511-nucleotide ribosomal RNA is filed under the name uncultured bacterium. RNAcentral's name for it is "bacterial SSU rRNA". It matches the Rfam family "Bacterial small subunit ribosomal RNA", at positions 791 to 1299 of the family's 1533-position model. The record is from RNAcentral.
UAGUCCACGCCGUAAACGAUGUCAACUAGCCGUCGGGCUCAUUAUAAGGGUUUGGUGGCGCAGCUAACGCAAUAAGUUGACCGCCUGGGGAGUACGCCGGCAACGGUAAAACUCAAAGGAAUUGACAGGGGCCCGCACAAGCGGUGGAGCAUGUGGUUUAAUUCGAUGCAACGCGAAGAACCUUACCUACCCUUGACAUCCUCAGAACUUGUUAGAGAUAACUUGGUGCCUUCGGGAAUUGAGUGACAGGUGCUGCAUGGCUGUCGUCAGCUCGUGUCGUGAGAUGUUGGGUUAAGUCCCGCAACGAGCGCAACCCUUGUCCCUAGUUGCCAGCACAUAAUGGUGGGGACUCUAGGAAGACUGCCUCCGUAAGGAGUGAGGAAGGCGGGGACGACGUCAAAUCAUCAUGGCCUUUAUGCCCAGGGCUACACACGUGCUACAAUGGCAAGUACAGAGGGCUGCUAACCUGCGAAGGUAUGCUAAUCCCAGAAAGCUUGUCCCAGUUCGGAUC